GUCAAUCAGCGGCUUCGCGAUCGAAGUAAACGGAGGCUUCGUAAUGUGCGACGAAAUCGAACCAAUCGCCGCGACACAAGCAGAUCGCACCGCCGAGUCAUUAUCGCGGAGGCGCCGAAUCACAGAACUAAUUAGCUUAGACAGAUGCGGAGAGAGGAGAUUACCGUGAGAUUCCGAGAGCAGAGAAACUAACUUCACACAUUGUUUCCUCACCGGCGACUUAUCCGCCGAAUCAGUCGCCGUAAUCGACGAUAUAAACGGCGACAACGAGUCAUGACUCAGUGUCCUCGCAAUCGACU
Molecule: long non-coding RNA, 299 nt
Filed under: Daucus carota (carrot)
Lineage: Eukaryota; Viridiplantae; Streptophyta; Magnoliopsida; Apiales; Apiaceae
Description: long non-coding RNA (DCAR_LNC003343)
Source: RNAcentral